This 308-nucleotide ribosomal RNA is filed under the name uncultured soil bacterium. RNAcentral's name for it is "bacterial SSU rRNA". It matches the Rfam family "Bacterial small subunit ribosomal RNA", at positions 26 to 323 of the family's 1533-position model. The record is from RNAcentral.
AGAGUGAACGCUGGCGGUAGGCCUAACACAUGCAAGUCGAACGGCAGCACGGUAAGAGCUUGCUCUUAUGGGUGGCGAGUGGCGGACGGGUGAGGAAUACAUCGGAAUCUACCUUUUGGUGGGGGAUAACGUAGGGAAACUUACGCUAAUACCGCAUACGCCCCGUCGGGGGAAACGCCGGGGACCAGCAAUGGCCUGGCGCUGAUAGAUGAGCCGAUGUCGGAUUAGCUAGUUGGUGAGGUAAUGGCUCACCAAGGCGACGAUCCGUAGCUGGUCUGAGAGGAUGAUCAGCCCACACUGGAACUGAG